CAGCAGAGUUUGAUCAUGGCUCAGGACGAACGCUGGCGGCGUGCUUAACACAUGCAAGUCACGGGGGCUCGCAAGAGCAACCGGCGAACGGGUGCGUAACACGUGAGCAAUUUGCCGAUUUCUGGGGGAUAGCCGGCCCAACGGCCGGGUAAUACCGCAUACGCUUCAGAAGAGGAGUCUCUUUUGAAGGAAACCUCCGGGGGAAAUCGAGGAGCUCGCGGCCUAUCAGCUAGUUGGCGGGGUCAAGGCCCACCAAGGCGACGACGGGUAGCUGGUCUGAGAGGAUGGCCAGCCACAUUGGGACUGAGAGACGGCCCAGACUCCUACGGGAGGCAGCAGUGGGGAAUCUUGCGCAAUGGCCGAAAGGCUGACGCAGCGACGCCGCGUGUGGGAUGACGCCUUUCGGGGUGUAAACCCCUUUCGACCCGGACGAAUGCCCCGCAAGGGGACUGACGGUACGGGUAUAAGAAGCCCCGGCUAACUACGUGCCAGCAGCCGCGGUAAUCAAUCGC
This 512-nucleotide ribosomal RNA is filed under the name uncultured bacterium. RNAcentral describes it as "bacterial SSU rRNA". It matches the Rfam family "Bacterial small subunit ribosomal RNA", at positions 1 to 528 of the family's 1533-position model. The record is from RNAcentral.